This is a non-coding RNA of Annulohypoxylon moriforme, 110 nucleotides long. The record is from the annotation of a GenBank genome assembly. NCBI's taxonomy places the organism in Eukaryota, Fungi, Ascomycota, Sordariomycetes, Xylariales, Hypoxylaceae.
GCCCUUAUAGCUCAGUGGUAGAGCGCAGCACUCGUACUGUGAUAAUUCUUCUUGAAUAUAGUUACAAUUUACUAAUGCUGAGGUCCAUCGUUCAAUCCGGUGUGGGGGCA